GACGAACGCUGGCGGCGUGCUUAACACAUGCAAGUCGAACGGAAAGGCCCUGCUUUUGUGGGGUGCUCGAGUGGCGAACGGGUGAGUAACACGUGAGUAACCUGCCCUUGACUUUGGGAUAACUUCAGGAAACUGGGGCUAAUACCGGAUAGGAGCUCCUGCUGCAUGGUGGGGGUUGGAAAGUUUCGGCGGUUGGGGAUGGACUCGCGGCUUAUCAGCUUGUUGGUGGGGUAGCGGCUUACCAAGGCUUUGACGGGUAGCCGGCCUGAGAGGGUGACCGGCCGCAUUGGGACUGAGAUACGGCCCAGACUCCUACGGGAGGCAGCAGUGGGGAAUAUUGCACAAUGGGCGGAAGCCUGAUGCAGCAACGCCGCGUGCGGGAUGACGGCCUUCGGGUUGUAAACCGCUUUCGCCUGUGACGAAGCGUGAGUGACGGUAAUGGGUAAAGAAGCACCGGCUAACUACGUG
This 468-nucleotide ribosomal RNA is filed under the name uncultured bacterium. RNAcentral describes it as "partial 16S ribosomal RNA". It matches the Rfam family "Bacterial small subunit ribosomal RNA", at positions 28 to 507 of the family's 1533-position model. The record is from RNAcentral.